Molecule: long non-coding RNA, 3415 nt
Filed under: Rattus norvegicus (Norway rat)
Lineage: Eukaryota; Metazoa; Chordata; Mammalia; Rodentia; Muridae
Description: long non-coding RNA NONRATT016013
Source: RNAcentral
GUGCCCAGUAAGCUAGACUCGAGGGUGUCUGGUAUUUUCACUUUUUAGUAAAUUACCUUACUGGAAGCUUAAAAUUUGCUUCUGAGUUGGCCUUCAAAGCUAGAGUGGAAUAGCUGUUCUAGCCUUAGGUUGUAGUGUUCCCUGCAGCGCCUCAGAUACUCGGGGAAGUUAAUAUAAGAGAUAGUCUUACGUAAGUAGUGAAUAAGGAAACGGCCACAUUGUCCAGUAAUGCAUAAGAAGUGGAGGAACGUUUUCUGGACUUGUGAUAAACAAUUCUGUUAAGUAAAAGAGCAGUUCUAUUACCUGUCUAAUUAAGAAUUUAUUUCCAAUUUAGCAGUUAUGCAGCUCAAAAACAAUAUUUGGCUUUAUAGUAAAUUUGUUUCUAAAUCUAAUAACUUUAAAAUAGAAGCUUAAGUAAAUAUUACUUAAAACCUAAAACUAGGGUGGUUUUCUUUUCUAAUGCAGCUUUCCCUGUUGAGGCUUUUGUUUCUUCUUAAAUUUAUAUUCUAUUUUAGACAACAUCGUAUAUAGCACAGGAAUUUGCAGAAGCCAUUUAAGUUUUUUGAGGUCAGCGCUGAGUUAGCAUUUAUUGUUUUGAUGAGACGUAACACAUCAUGGGAUAUAUAUAUAUAUAUAUAUAAAGAACUUAAUUCUUGUGGUGCAGUGUUGAUAGUUUUGAAUGUUGCCUAAAUGUCUAUGAGGUUGUGAGUUUGUCAUUGUUACAUUCCAGUGUUUCUGCCUCUUGGCAUGCUUAAAGCACGGCUUACUUCAUCCGCUCCUUACACACUAAACUGCUCUUAGUGUGCUCAACUACAGAGAUAGCCGCUGCUGAGUGAUGUAGAUUUUCUACUUGAAUAUUUUUAUGUUGUAGGAACCUCAGGAGGUCAGUGUUUACUGUUUUAUAUAUGCCUUCUUUUUCCUGUUUGAGCUUCUCUCUCUGAAGGAUUCUAACAGAACAAAAGCUGCUGAUCAACCUAAGUUGGAAACAGAAAGUGUGUCUAGUGUCGUUGAAACACGUACUUAGCAGUCCCAUGUCACAGCCCAUUAAUUAGCGAGUGAACUUAGUGCCACAGGUGUUCAUUUACUUGGGAAAUGGUUUUGCUUUUUGUAUUGUCUAAUCUCUUUAAUGACUUCAUACUGUGUAAGAAAAAUCACUUUUGUAUUGUUUGUUGGUUAUUUCCAAAUAACUGACUUGUAAAUACCCUUAGAGCCAGUUCGAUGCUUUACAUCACUGCUACCUGAUUUUGUUAUGCAGCCUAGAUCUCAGAUCGCAGAACACUUAACCAAGCCAUUACAUCUUAAAGCAAAACAGGUAGCAACAUUUUGUAAUUAACAUUGAUAAACACUGUGAUUUUUUUGGUUAAAACUUUUUCAUUGAUCUGAAUUGCUUAAAUUGCAUAUAUUGUAAAAUAGAGUCAGAUGUAUAUUUUAAAAUAAUUUCAGCUAACUUUCCUCUGACUGCUUUGUCUACUCAGUUAUGAAAUAUUCAGAUACAAGUUUUAUCUCAGGUGAAUAUCCUUGUAUCAUUUUGCUUUGGUGACAUGUUUAUAAAGAAAGAUCAUCAUACCUUCUAGUCUGUGGGGGUUUGUGAGGUGUUUGGUUUUUUUGUUUUGUUUUGUUUUGUUUUGUUAGAAUUUAAUGUGUUUUCUCCCCAGUUAGUCAGUUUUGCCCCUCUCCAAUUGUUUUAUCAGACUGGAGAGAGAAAUAAAAGGCUCUCCUCACAUUUGAUACGGAGAUUUAACUGAGAAUGAGUUGAGUUUGGUCCUCUCCUUUUCCAGACACUCAAAAUACAAAAGUGGAACCUUUCUCCCUACAUAAAAUUCUGCAAAGUUGGGGUGCCAGAAUUAAAUUAUGUGUUGAACUCUUGUCUCCAUUUAACACCUUUGCAGUGACUUUUUUUUGCUUCACAUAGUUAAUUAUAUUCAUAUUGAAUGUAUUAACAGAUAGAGUGCAAAUGCACUCUUCCCGAGGGAAGCGUGUGUGGUGCACAGCUGCAGCCCUGACCCCUCCUCUGGGGCUUCAGGUGCACACAGCCUCCUUGUGGAGCUACUUCAGCAACUGUUACACGGUGGGGGGACACUAAUUGUUGCUGCUAGUGCUGUUUAAUGACGUGGUCAUGGGAAGCUAUAAGAAAACUGGUUAACACCCUGGGAUAAUUGAGUGGCCUGUGUUGGUAAGGAUUUCUCUAGUUCAGUGCCGUGCGGUAGCAUUGUAUAUCAGCUGGAGCAUUUCAUGCUGCAUUAAAUAUGGCAGUGCUUCUAAGCCUCGUUAACGUUAAGUUUCACAUGAAAGUUAGCUCCUCUUACCUGUGUGCUUUCUAGGUAACUGGAAUCUAACUUCAGGCUUGAUACAGAUCUUCUCCCUGUUGGUAUUACAUAUAUAUAGAUAGAUAGAUAAUUCUCAAUGCCUAAUUAUUAUACUUAUACAUUUGUAAGGUAUAAGCAUAAUUGCAGCAACUGUUGUUAUAGUUUGUAUCCCAGAGUUUAUUGUGUUGACAUAAAAGAUGUGUAGCAGCAGAAUGUGUGCAUGACCUUGAGGGAAGUUCAGGCUGGUUUUCUUUCCCCCCUCUGUACAUUGAACAACCAAGGCAAAUGUAUUGCCAAUCAGAGAUCACUAAUUACAAAGCUCUUUUCCCUUUCAGUAGGAGCUUUUGUUUGUUAUCCAUUGCUGCCGUACUGUGGCUCAGUUCUGAGGAACCCUAUGUCACGGGUCUAGUCAUCUUGUCAAAUGCCUGCUCUAACAUGCUUAGCCUACAAGGCAGUGUUGUCUCCUCCCAAUGGUCACCUCAUAAAGACGUUCCCCUCAUCUUUCUGUCACUGCUCUCCUAUGUGGAUAUAUAUAUAUAACCAGACUGAUUCUUUGGUUUUUUUAUGGAGAUAAUAAUUAGAUAAUACUAUGUAAUUAAUUUUACUUGGUAGAUUAUCAUCUUAAGAGAUACUUAAAUGUGGUAAAUCACUUCAUAUUAUGAGAGUUUUACACUUAGUAUUCAUGUUAACAUUGGGUGCAAUAACUUAGUAGAACCUGCUUAGUUAUAAAUAACUGGAUCUUUCUGCUGACAACUUAGGUUGUAUGAGUUAUGCUUAAAAGCUUUAAAUCUGAUGUUUCCUGUACCUGCCACACUAUGUUAGAAUGUGUCCUUCAAACAUAUCCUGCAACUUCUCAAACUGUACUAAAUUGGUAGUUCUUGAAGUCUAACUCUGUGCUAACAGAUCUUCAUUUUAAAUAGAAUACGGUUUUAAUUUUUGAUAAGCUGCUGAAUUUUAAAGAGAGUUUUUUGGGGCCACCAAAUAUUUUGGAUCAUGCAGAGAAUAUAUAUUGUACUGUAGUAAUUUUGUAUUUACAUUUGUAUGAUGUGACAUAAUAGAUGUGAAUGUUAAUCACUGCUUGACUAUGUUAAUAAAGUUGUUUAACUAUA